Molecule: long non-coding RNA, 798 nt
Organism: Populus trichocarpa (black cottonwood)
Lineage: Eukaryota; Viridiplantae; Streptophyta; Magnoliopsida; Malpighiales; Salicaceae
Exons: 4
Source: RefSeq, a predicted model, not a curated record
CCAAAUGACAUGGCAAUUUUCGUACCAUGUUUUUUCUUGAAAAAAACCCCAACACUCUCUUACCUCUCUAGUAUUCCCUGAACUUCCUCUCUCUGGGCACAAAGAAGCAAGACAAAAAUCAAAAGCAGAGGGGGCAACGAAGAUGAAGGGGUCUUUUUUUGAGAGGGGGUGGAUAGGGUGGCUAGAUCCGGGGACGUGGAAACAGGAAGGUAGGGACUGCUUUUUGAUGGGGGAGUUAAGGGGGUGUAGGGGAGUCGAUGAAAAAGAAGGAGUUGUUUCUGAGACGAGGGUUGACAGAUUCGGGAACGAUGAAAAGGGAGGACGUACAAGCUGUUGAGAGCAUACAAGAAAAAGGGCCAGUGAUAGUAUGAGGUAAGAUGAAGAAGGAAAAUGUGUCAAGGUCAGACGAGGCUAUCAAUAGUCAAGUGGAUAGUAUCCCAAUUGAGAAUCACUUGAUCAAAUACUCAUAGAUUUCUCCAUAGAGAUGAUGUCAAUGAGGAUUGCAUGGACAUUUGUAGCUGUAGCAGGUUCUGGUUAUUUCCAAGAAUUUAUAGGAUGAAUUAGUCUUCAUGGCGGCUGCCUGUGGUUGCCAAGGAAUUUUGUUGCUUCUUAGACUCUGAACUUUAUAGAUUUUUUUUUGCAAUGUUUUUUUUUUUGUUAGAAACCAAGCUUUAUUAAGUCUGUCUAGCAUCAAUUCUAGUUCUUGGUUUGUUACAACUUUUUAUGCUUGCACGUGCCUAUCCAUAGUAUGUAAAACUGCCAUUCCAUAGAAAUAGACGAAUCUUAAAUUAUUUUCAA